CAUUGGCCAUGGCUCAUGUUCCCCCCCACGCCUGGCAUGGGGUAUAACCAACCCCUGGUUGGUGCCCCGGUGGUCUCAGGAACACGCAUCCAUAAUAAACACAUGUCUCUACCCAAGUUCCGUGUCGCUAUUUCGUCUGUUCCCGUGCUAGAACUGAGCCUCGCAGAGCCGAAGGGGAAAGCGGCCACCGCCUCUCCUCUCCUCCCACCGUGCUCCUGCAGGCACCUGCCCAGAGCCGGUGUUGCAUGGCAACAAAUUGUAGCAGAGGAUGGUUGUUUCCAUUGAUUUGUGAAACGGGGGAGAGAGAAAGAAAUUCUGCUGCCGUAAGAGCUCUGCAGACACUAAGAGGAGUGACGUGCCGGGUGGAAAACAAAACCGAAGCUCUGGGGACCCUCUUCCGUCCUCGCCGGUGUGCUCUCUACCCUGCCCGGGAGCAGCUGCACUGCGGGGGCAGCCGGACUGCAGGGGCCGGGAGCCGGGUAGACUUACCCGAGGAACAAAGAGGACAGUUUGGCAGUGGCUUGAUGAACUGAGCUCGAAGAGUAGCCCAUCAGAGGACAGCAUCUGAAUGGAGACCAGAGGCUGACAGUGGCCGAACCCAGAGUUUCAGGGACGAACUCUGGUUAACAGGAACAUCCAGGCUUCUGGGAGAGCCAAACCAUGAAGGAAUACGUCCUCAGUUCAGCGCGAUGUUCCACCACCGAGGAGAGAGAGAGAGAUUUCACCACCUGAGCCCAGAAGGAGUGAGCUUGCUAAGAAGAUACAGACCCUGCUGCCUGCAGUGGAACUGGGCUGCAAGUUAGCUCAUCACUCAAAAGGGAGCAACUCCCUUAGGGAUGGAAGCAGAGGGGGAAGGUAAGAGGAGAACACUGUAAAUAACUGGGUAUUUUCCCAUUCUCAGUGUCCGGAAGGCUAAUCCUGAGCUACCUGGGGUACUUGGGGUAGGGAUCCCAUGACGUAAGGGGGAUUUUUGCUGCAGCAAAGAAAACAGAGCUUAGAUAUUUCCUUUAGUGUAAAUAAAUAUGUGGGGGAACUUCCAGAAUAAGCAGAAGCAGCAGGCAUUGUGGAGCUGGGCAAUUUUGUCUGUUAGGAAGAUAAUAUCUAAAUGGUCUAAUUAUAGCUCCAGUUCAGCAUACUCAGGGAAUCCCCACCAUUACUCUUCAGUAGCUGCUGCUGUAAAUUUACAGGACCUGCUUGAUAAUUUAUGUUUACUACAAGCCUGUCAAACUACAAAUUUUUCUGUGGGAACCCCGACCUUAUUCUGGGUUCCCAUGUGGUGGUGAAAUUCCUCCUCCAACCCGUGCUUCCAAAGAAAAACUCCGC
Non-coding RNA from Lonchura striata (white-rumped munia), 1323 nucleotides. The record is from RefSeq and is a predicted model, not a curated record. NCBI's taxonomy places the organism in Eukaryota, Metazoa, Chordata, Aves, Passeriformes, Estrildidae.